Molecule: ribosomal RNA, 328 nt
Filed under: uncultured eukaryote
Lineage: Eukaryota
Description: partial 18S ribosomal RNA
Rfam family: Eukaryotic small subunit ribosomal RNA
Source: RNAcentral
CCCUUAGAUGUCCUGGGCCGCACGCGCGUUACACUGAUGCAUUCAACGAGCUUAUAACCUUGGCCGAGAGGCCUGGGCAAUCUUGUUAACGUGCAUCGUGAUAGGGAUAGAUUAUUGAAAUUAUUAAUCUUGAACGAGGAAUUCCUAGUAAACGCAGAUCAUCAAUCUGCAUUGAUUACGUCCCUGCCCUUUGUACACACCGCCCGUCGCACCUACCGAUUGGAUGGUCCGUUGAAGCCUCGGGAUUGUGGUUCUUGCCGCUUUAUUGUGGCGUGACCGCGAGAACUUGUCUAAACCUUAUCAUCUAGAGGAAGGUGAAGUCGUAACA